CCUAAAAGCUCCAUAUUAAUACCUCAGGUACAAGACCGGUUACUCACUAAAGCUAAGCAGGGCUGAGCCUGGUCAGUACCUGGAUGGGAGACCACUAGGGAACACUAGGUUGCUGUUGGAA
Molecule: ribosomal RNA, 121 nt
Organism: Danio rerio (zebrafish)
Lineage: Eukaryota; Metazoa; Chordata; Actinopteri; Cypriniformes; Danionidae
Source: Ensembl